GCGAUAAGCGCCGGUAAGGUGAUAUGAACCGUUAUAACCGGCGAUACCCGAAUGGGGAAACCCAGUGUGACUCGUCACACUAUCAUUAACUGAAUCCAUAGGUUAAUGAGGCGAACCGGGGGAACUGAAACAUCUAAGUACCCCGAGGAAAAGAAAUCAACCGAGAUUCCCCCAGUAGCGGCGAGCGAACGGGGAGGAGCCCAGAGCCUGAAUCAGCAUGUGUGUUAGUGGAAGCGUCUGGAAAGGCGCGCGAUACAGGGUGACAGCCCCGUACACAAAAGCGCAUGUGCUGUGAGCUCGAUGAGUAGGGCGGGACACGUGGUAUCCUGUCUGAAUAUGGGGGGACCAUCCUCCAAGGCUAAAUACUCCUGACUGACCGAUAGUGAACCAGUACCGUGAGGGAAAGGCGAAAAGAACCCCGGCGAGGGGAGUGAAAAAGAACCUGAAACCGUGU
Molecule: ribosomal RNA, 454 nt
Filed under: Salmonella enterica subsp. enterica serovar Newport
Lineage: Bacteria; Pseudomonadati; Pseudomonadota; Gammaproteobacteria; Enterobacterales; Enterobacteriaceae
Also listed under: 1 other name
Description: partial 23S ribosomal RNA
Rfam family: Bacterial large subunit ribosomal RNA
Source: RNAcentral